UUAGAGUUUAGUCAUACCUAUCAUACUAAAAAUGCACAGCAAAUUUUUCACAUCACACCACAAAACUUUAGUCAAGAGAACUAAGAAAAAUACUCAUAAUUGUAACUCAAAAAUCAAAGAAAAAAAUAUGCAAUAUUUUUUUUAAGAAAGAAAACAAAAACCAAAACAGAGAAAAACAAAGAAAACAAAACAAAUAAAUG
RNAcentral lists this long non-coding RNA (200 nucleotides) under Lathyrus oleraceus (garden pea). RNAcentral describes it as "Pisum sativum (pea) long non-coding RNA (PSAT_LNC014185)". Lineage: Eukaryota; Viridiplantae; Streptophyta; Magnoliopsida; Fabales; Fabaceae. The record is from RNAcentral.